CAGUCGCCGCGGUAAUACGAAGGGUGCAAGCGUUACUCGGAAUUACUGGGCGUAAAGCGUGCGUAGGUGGUGGUUUAAGUCCGUUGUGAAAGCCCUGGGCUCAACCUGGGAAUUGCAGUGGAUACUGGGUCACUAGAGUGUGGUAGAGGAUAGUGGAAUUCCCGGUGUAGCAGUGAAAUGCGUAGAGAUCGGAAGGAACAUCUGUGGCGAAGGCGACUAUCUGGGCCAACACUGACACUGAGGCACGAAAGCGUGGGGAGCAAACAGGAUUAGAGACCCCCGUAGUCCCUGUCUCUUAUAC
This 301-nucleotide ribosomal RNA is filed under the name uncultured bacterium. RNAcentral's name for it is "partial 16S ribosomal RNA". It matches the Rfam family "Bacterial small subunit ribosomal RNA", at positions 509 to 807 of the family's 1533-position model. The record is from RNAcentral.